CCUACGGGAGGCAGCAGUGAGGAAUAUUGGUCAAUGGACGAGAGUCUGAACCAGCCAAGUAGCGUGAAGGAUGACUGCCCUAUGGGUUGUAAACUUCUUUUAUAUGGGAAUAAAAUGUUCCACGUGUGGGAUUUUGUAUGUACCAUAUGAAUAAGGAUCGGCCAACUCCGUGCCAGCAGCCGCGGUAAUACGGAGGAUCCGAGCGUUAUCCGGAUUUAUUGGGUUUAAAGGGAGCGUAGGUGGAUUGUUAAGUCAGUUGUGAAAGUUUGCGGCUCAACCGUAAAAUUGCAGUUGAAACUGGCAGUCUUGAGUACAGUAGAGGUGGGCGGAAUUCGUGGUGUAGCGGUGAAAUGCUUAGAUAUCACGAAGAACUCCGAUUGCGAAGGCAGUUCACUGGACUGCAACUGACACUGAGGCUCGAAAGUGUGGGUAUCAAACAGGAUUAGAUACCCGAGUAGUC
Molecule: ribosomal RNA, 460 nt
Filed under: uncultured bacterium
Lineage: Bacteria
Description: partial 16S ribosomal RNA
Rfam family: Bacterial small subunit ribosomal RNA
Source: RNAcentral